RNAcentral lists this ribosomal RNA (456 nucleotides) under uncultured bacterium. RNAcentral's name for it is "SSU rRNA". It matches the Rfam family "Bacterial small subunit ribosomal RNA", at positions 26 to 518 of the family's 1533-position model. The record is from RNAcentral.
AGGAUGAACGCUGGCGGCGUGCCUAAGACAUGCAAGUCGAGUGGGUUUAGACCCACGGCGAACGGGUGAGUAAUACCUAGGAACUUUCUUUAAGUGGAGCAUAACCCAUAGAAAUGUGGGACAAUUCUCCAUGUGUCCCGAUGUAAAAAUCGGUAUAAAGUCGCAAGACGCUUAAAGUGAGGCCUGGGCACCAUCAGCUAGUUGGUAAGGUAAUGGCUUACCAAGGCUAUGACGGUUAGGGGUCCCGAGAGGGAUAACCCCCACACUGGAACUGCGACACGGUCCAGACUCCUACGGGAGGCAGCAGUUUGGAAUUUUGGACAAUGGGCGAAAGCCUGAUCCAGCGACGCCGCGUGGACGAUGAAGGCCUUCGGGUCGUAAAGUCCUUUUGCUCGGGAACAAUAUUUUGAGCGUACCGAGAGAAUAAGAGGUUGCUAACUCUGCGCCAGCAGCCGC